CCUACGGGGGGCUGCAGUGGGGAAUAUUGCGCAAUGGGCGGAAGCCUGACGCAGCGACGCCGCGUGGGGGAUGACGGCCUUCGGGUUGUAAACCUCUUUCGCCAGGGACGCGGUACCUGGAUAAGAAGCACCGGCCAACUACGUGCCAGCAGCCGCGGUAACACGUAGGGUGCGAGCGUUGUCCGGAAUUAUUGGGCGUAAAGAGCUCGUAGGCGGUGUGUCGCGUCGGCCGUGAAAACUUACAGCUUAACUGUGAGCGUGCGGUCGAUACGGGCAUACUUGAGUUCGGCAGGGGAGACUGGAAUUCCUGGUGUAGCGGUGAAAUGCGCAGAUAUCAGGAGGAACACCGGUGCGAGGCGGGUCUCUGGGCCGAACUGACGCUGAGGAGCGAAAGCGUGGGGAGCGAACAGGAUUAGAUACCCUUGUAGUC
Molecule: ribosomal RNA, 430 nt
Filed under: uncultured bacterium
Lineage: Bacteria
Description: partial 16S ribosomal RNA
Rfam family: Bacterial small subunit ribosomal RNA
Source: RNAcentral